UUCUCCCACCUCUGAUUAGAACCGGACAGAGCAGAUUGCACUGAACAAGCUCUUGUGAAAUGAUUGAUAUCGUGUCACGUAAACUCCUCCUACGACAUUAUAUGAUGUGAUGUAAACCUCCUCGGCCUAAAGACUCCUUCAGUUCCUGUUUUGCAGCAAAGACUCUCGAACUGUGGAGUCGGAGGGUCUAUUUCUGAAGAGCUCAAACCCAGGAGGAUGUGGCCUCUGAAUGGUUUCCCUCUGCUCUGCUGUGCUUGAUCUGGGAUGAUACAGGACACUGAUGACUGCAGCAGAUUGGCCUUUUCCUGUUUUGACGAGCCCAGGUGACCCCAGCUCUCCAGUUCUGUCACUGAACACAUUAUUCAACGACACAUCCAACACAGCUGGGCACAAUCGCUGCUUCCUAAUGCACAUCGACAUCCUGGAAGCCACAUAGGAGGAAACGCUUCUUUCUUAUCAAGAGCAGAAGAAGAUGAUGAUGAAGAUGGAGUCGAGCUCGUGCACGGAGGAUCGGAUCCAGCAUGUCCUCGAGCGCUGCCUCUGUGGUCUGGGCAUCGACACUCCGGAUAAACAACUCU
Molecule: long non-coding RNA, 578 nt
Organism: Notothenia coriiceps (black rockcod)
Lineage: Eukaryota; Metazoa; Chordata; Actinopteri; Perciformes; Nototheniidae
Exons: 3
Source: RefSeq, a predicted model, not a curated record